Long non-coding RNA from Manis pentadactyla (Chinese pangolin), 1408 nucleotides. RefSeq lists it as uncharacterized. The transcript has 4 exons. The record is from RefSeq and is a predicted model, not a curated record. NCBI's taxonomy places the organism in Eukaryota, Metazoa, Chordata, Mammalia, Pholidota, Manidae.
AGCAGCUUCUGAGUAUUUGGAGCUCCCUGUUCCCUUUUUCUUCCAGAACUGCAGCCGGGAUGUCUGCCCUGGGUGGACCGGCAUAAACGUGGAUGUGAUGGUACUUUCUAAUGUCCUGUGUGACGUAGGGAGAAAAGCAAUGGCUUGGAAUUUGGGAGACAAGGAUUUAAUCCCAGGGUUCAAGCUAAACUGAGCUCAAGCCAUUUACUUUUCAGGACCUGGUAUUCAUUUACGUAUUUGUUUAUUUCAGCUAUAAAAGGAGAGCCUUACAAACACUGUUUUCCUAUUAAUGUUAGACCACAGACAAGUAAAAUAUCACAUUUUCUUUUGAGAUCUUGGAUCAGGAAUCUUCGUGUCAGAUGCAUGAGGAGAGGUCAGAAGGAGAGGUGUACAUGGGCUGAACUGUUGCCAAAGAGGAAGAAGUGGGAGAGGUGCGCGUGAUGCAGUCAGUGUUUGACUCAACUGUUCUCAAGCCCAAAGUUGGGAAAGAAUGGCUGAACUACUGAAAGACUUAGCUUCAUCAAAUUUUUUCUUUUUUUAAUAGUGUCAGUAAAACUAAAAUUCAGUUGGGAAAGCCCGAGACUCUAGCCAACAAGGAAGAACUUAAUGAGCCCUGGUAAUUAUCCAGAUCAUAAAGUUGAAACAGGAAGCAGAGCCAGCGCCAUCUGGCAUGUGAUCUGGACCUCUUGUCACGGCACUAGUGUGGAGAUGCUUCUAGCUGGCACUUGCACAAGGGUGUCAUGCAGCCCUGGGUGUGCGUGUGGCUGAUCUCCCCUUUCCCACAUCACACUGGGCACGGCAGCAACACACCAGGCUCCUCUCGCCUGCACACUGGAAGGCCCAGCUCCUGGGAACGAGGGCGACAGGAUUGCCAGCCGCCCAGAUACCGUGAAGGCCAUCUUGGAUUUUCAUUGUGAUUCCUUUGUGAGAAGAAAUCGGAGCAACCACAUAAAUGCUGCCCAGAGACAUCUGUCAUCUUCCGACUUAAAAGAGACAAACCACAGCUACAUGACUGUUGAUCGCCGGUCUGUGUUUAUUCAGCUUCUCAGAGCUCACGUAACCCAACACCUGAGAGCUCACAUAACUAAACAUUUAUGAAAGUGCCAUGUGUUCAGCUGCCCUGUUUUCCUGGAGACCUGCCUUGACUUGGGGAGCAAGGCUGAAGCAAUGGUGCCGAGUCUCCUGCUGUGGGAAGGGAAGGAACUGGCCCAGCCGUCCACGGAUAUGCUGAGGAGCUGACAUAGCCCUGGGCUUUUCACUGAUACCUCCUAUCUCACUUCACUUGACAUUCAAUAAUUUUGAUCUCCCUUUGUGUGGAGCACACUUUGAGAUGGAAUGCUCAAAGACCAAGUUCGGAAAACAGACAGGAACUGAAAGUGCUCUGGGAAGAGAGGCCACAGAAACUGGC